RNAcentral lists this non-coding RNA (29 nucleotides) under Homo sapiens (human). The record is from RNAcentral. Lineage: Eukaryota; Metazoa; Chordata; Mammalia; Primates; Hominidae.
AUGGAAGGCCAAUUCUCAGAACACAAUGA